UACGUAGGGUGCGAGCGUUAAUCGGAAUUACUGGGCGUAAAGCGUGCGCAGGCGGUUCGUUGUGUCUGAUGUGAAAGCCCCGGGCUUAACCUGGGAAUGGCAUUGGAAACUGGCGAGCUUGAGUGUGGCAGAGGGGGGUGGAAUUCCGCGUGUAGCAGUGAAAUGCGUAGAGAUGCGGAGGAACACCGAUGGCGAAGGCAGCCCCCUGGGCCAACACUGACGCUCAGGCACGAAAGCGUGGGGAGCAAACAGG
This 253-nucleotide ribosomal RNA is filed under the name uncultured bacterium. RNAcentral's name for it is "partial 16S ribosomal RNA". It matches the Rfam family "Bacterial small subunit ribosomal RNA", at positions 524 to 776 of the family's 1533-position model. The record is from RNAcentral.